This 64-nucleotide transfer RNA is filed under the name Paratimomenus flavocapitatus. RNAcentral describes it as "tRNA-Val". Lineage: Eukaryota; Metazoa; Arthropoda; Insecta; Dermaptera; Forficulidae. The record is from RNAcentral.
UUAACUGGAGCUAGAAGAGUAUAACAUUUACACUGUUAAGGUUUUGUAAAAACAAAUGGUUAAA